CAGUAGCCACGGUAAUACGGAGGGAGCUAGCGUUGUUCGGAAUUACUGGGCGUAAAGCGCACGUAGGCGGCUUUGUAAGUCAGAGGUGAAAGCCUGGAGCUCAACUCCAGAACUGCCUUUGAGACUGCAUCGCUUGAAUCCAGGAGAGGUGAGUGAAAUUCCGAGUGUAGAGGUGAAAUUCGUAGAUAUUCGGAAGAACACCAGUGGCGAAGGCGGCUCACUGGACUGGUAUUGACGCUGAGGUGCGAAAGCGUGGGGAGCAAACAGGAUUAGAUACCCGCGUAGUCCCUGUCUCUUAUAC
RNAcentral lists this ribosomal RNA (301 nucleotides) under uncultured bacterium. RNAcentral's name for it is "partial 16S ribosomal RNA". It matches the Rfam family "Bacterial small subunit ribosomal RNA", at positions 509 to 807 of the family's 1533-position model. The record is from RNAcentral.